This is a long non-coding RNA of Mandrillus leucophaeus (drill), 224 nucleotides long. RefSeq lists it as uncharacterized. The record is from RefSeq and is a predicted model, not a curated record. The transcript has 3 exons. NCBI's taxonomy places the organism in Eukaryota, Metazoa, Chordata, Mammalia, Primates, Cercopithecidae.
AAGAGCCUUUUGCCUCCAGCCAUGAUUCUGAGAACUACCCAGCCAUGUGGGACUAGCAAUGUACAAGUAUAUUUUUUCAUUACAAAUAAUUCAAGGAAAAGAAACCAUUGAAGAUAAAUGAAACAUUGUAUUACAUUUUAUGCCAGAUUCACCUUCUUGAGAGCAGCAUUGUUUCUUACUUUGUUGCAAAUGUACAUUCACUAAUCAGGCUCUUGUUAAAGAGU